Molecule: ribosomal RNA, 253 nt
Filed under: uncultured bacterium
Lineage: Bacteria
Description: partial 16S ribosomal RNA
Rfam family: Bacterial small subunit ribosomal RNA
Source: RNAcentral
UACGUAGGGUCCGAGCGUUGUCCGGAAUUACUGGGCGUAAAGAGCUCGUAGGCGGUUCGUCGCGUCGGCUGUGAAAUCCCGAGGCUCAACCUCGGGUCUGCAGUCGAUACGGGCGGACUGGAGUUCGGCAGGGGAGACUGGAAUUCCUGGUGUAGCGGUGAAAUGCGUAGAGAUGCGGAGGAACACCGAUGGCGAAGGCAGCCCCCUGGGCUGACACUGACGCUCAGGCACGAAAGCGUGGGGAGCAAACAGG